RNAcentral lists this ribosomal RNA (440 nucleotides) under uncultured bacterium. Its description in RNAcentral is "partial 16S ribosomal RNA". It matches the Rfam family "Bacterial small subunit ribosomal RNA", at positions 338 to 795 of the family's 1533-position model. The record is from RNAcentral.
CCUACGGGAUGCUGCAGUGGGGGAUAUUGCACAAUGGGGGAAACCCUGAUGCAGCGACGCCGCGUGUGGGAAGACGGUCCUCUGGAUUGUAAACCACUGUCCCCAGGGACGAAGAUGACGGUACCUGGGGAGGAAGCUCCGGCUAACUACGUGCCAGCAGCCGCGGUAAUACGUAGGGAGCGAGCGUUGUCCGGAAUUACUGGGGGUAAAGGGAGCGUAGGCGGGGAUGCAAGGUGGGUGUCAAAACUACCGGCUCAACUGGUAGUGGAACUCAAAACUGCAGCUCUUGAGUGAAGUAGAGGCAGGCGGAAUACCUAGUGUAGCGGUGAAAUGCGUAGAUAUUAGGAGGAACACCAGUGGCGAAGGCGGCCUGCUGGGCUUUUACUGACGCUGAGGCUCGAAAGUGUGGGGAGCAAACAGGAUUAGAUACCCUAGUAGUC